AGACCCGAAACCCGGUGAUCUAGCCAUGGGCAGGUUGAAGGUUGGGUAACACUAACUGGAGGACCGAACCGACUAAUGUUGAAAAAUUAGCGGAUGACCUGUGGCUGGGGGUGAAAGGCCAAUCAAACCGGGAGAUAGCUGGUUCUCCCCGAAAGCUAUUUAGGUAGCGCCUCGUGAAUUCAUCUCCGGGGGUAGAGCACUGUUUCGGCUAGGGGGCCAUCCCGGCUUACCAACCCGAUGCAAACUGCGAAUACCGGAGAAUGUUAUCACGGGAGACACACGGCGGGUGCUAACGUCCGUCGUGAAGAGGGAAACAACCCAGACCGCCAGCUAAGGUCCCAAAGUCAUGGUUAAGUGGGAAACGAUGUGGGAAGGCCCAGACAGCCAGGAUGUUGGCUUAGAAGCAGCCAUCAUUUAAAGAAAGCGUAAUAGCUCACUGGUCGAGUCGGCCUGCGCGGAAGAUGUAACGGGGCUAAACCAUGCACCGAAGCUGCGGCAGCGACGCUGAUGCGUUGUUGGGUAGGGGAGCGUUCUGUAAGCCUGCGAAGGUGGCCUGUGAGGGUUGCUGGAGGUAUCAGAAGUGCGAAUGCUGACAUAAGUAACGAUAAAGCGGGUGAAAAGCCCGCUCGCCGGAAGACCAAGGGUUCCUGUCCAACGUUAAUCGGGGCAGGGUGAGUCGACCCCUAAGGCGAGGCCGAAAGGCGUAGUCGAUGGGAAACGGGUUAAUAUUCCCGUACUUGGUGUUACUGCGAAGGGGGGACGGAGAAGGCUAUGUUGGCCGGGCGACGGUUGUCCCGGUUUAAGCGUGUAGGUGUGUGUUCCAGGUAAAUCCGGUUCACUUUAACACUGAGGCGUGAUGACGAGGCACUACGGUGCUGAAGCAACAAAUGCCCUGCUUCCAGGAAAAGCCUCUAAGCAUCAGGUAACAUCAAAUCGUACCCCAAACCGACACAGGUGGUCAGGUAGAGAAUACCAAGGCGCUUGAGAGAACUCGGGUGAAGGAACUAGGCAAAAUGGUGCCGUAACUUCGGGAGAAGGCACGCUGACACGUAGGUGAAGUGAUUUACUCAUGGAGCUGAAGUCAGUCGAAGAUACCAGCUGGCUGCAACUGUUUAUUAAAAACACAGCACUGUGCAAACACGAAAGUGGACGUAUACGGUGUGACGCCUGCCCGGUGCCGGAAGGUUAAUUGAUGGGGUCAGCGCAAGCGAAGCUCCUGAUCGAAGCCCCGGUAAACGGCGGCCGUAACUAUAACGGUCCUAAGGUAGCGAAAUUCCUUGUCGGGUAAGUUCCGACCUGCACGAAUGGCGUAAUGAUGGCCAGGCUGUCUCCACCCGAGACUCAGUGAAAUUGAACUCGCUGUGAAGAUGCAGUGUACCCGCGGCAAGACGGAAAGACCCCGUGAACCUUUACUAUAGCUUGACACUGAACAUUGAGCCUUGAUGUGUAGGAUAGGUGGGAGGCUUUGAAGUGUGGACGCCAGUCUGCAUGGAGCCGGCCUUGAAAUACCACCCUUUAAUGUUUGAUGUUCUAACGUGGACCCGUGAUCCGGGUUGCGGACAGUGUCUGGUGGGUAGUUUGACUGGGGCGGUCUCCUCCUAAAGAGUAACGGAGGAGCACGAAGGUUGGCUAAUCCUGGUCGGACAUCAGGAGGUUAGUGCAAUGGCAUAAGCCAGCUUGACUGCGAGCGUGACGGCGCGAGCAGGUGCGAAAGCAGGUCAUAGUGAUCCGGUGGUUCUGAAUGGAAGGGCCAUCGCUCAACGGAUAAAAGGUACUCCGGGGAUAACAGGCUGAUACCGCCCAAGAGUUCAUAUCGACGGCGGUGUUUGGCACCUCGAUGUCGGCUCAUCACAUCCUGGGGCUGAAGUAGGUCCCAAGGGUAUGGCUGUUCGCCAUUUAAAGUGGUACGCGAGCUGGGUUUAGAACGUCGUGAGACAGUUCGGUCCCUAUCUGCCGUGGGCGCUGGAGAACUGAGGGGGGCUGCUCCUAGUACGAGAGGACCGGAGUGGACGCAUCACUGGUGUUCGGGUUGUCAUGCCAAUGGCACUGCCCGGUAGCUAAAUGCGGAAGAGAUAAGUGCUGAAAGCAUCUAAGCACGAAACUUGCCCCGAGAUGAGUUCUCCCUGAGACUUAGAGUCUCCUGAAGGAACGUUGAAGACGAC
RNAcentral lists this ribosomal RNA (2162 nucleotides) under Salmonella enterica. RNAcentral's name for it is "partial 23S ribosomal RNA". It matches the Rfam family "Bacterial large subunit ribosomal RNA", at positions 711 to 2848 of the family's 2925-position model. RNAcentral also lists the same sequence under 1 other name. Lineage: Bacteria; Pseudomonadati; Pseudomonadota; Gammaproteobacteria; Enterobacterales; Enterobacteriaceae. The record is from RNAcentral.